Pleurotus ostreatus PC15 is the source of this 79-nucleotide transfer RNA. It matches the Rfam family "tRNA". Rfam says of the family: Transfer RNA (tRNA) molecules are approximately 80 nucleotides in length. Their secondary structure includes four short double-helical elements and three loops (D, anti-codon, and T loops). NCBI's taxonomy places the organism in Eukaryota, Fungi, Basidiomycota, Agaricomycetes, Agaricales, Pleurotaceae. The record is from Rfam.
ACAUCGAUGGUGAAACGGUAUCAUGCUUGCCUUCCAUUCUUGUGAGCAAGCGGCACGGGUUCGACUCCCGUUCGAUGUA